Molecule: ribosomal RNA, 253 nt
Filed under: uncultured bacterium
Lineage: Bacteria
Description: partial 16S ribosomal RNA
Rfam family: Bacterial small subunit ribosomal RNA
Source: RNAcentral
UACGAAGGGUGCAAACGUUGUUCGGAAUUACUGGGCGUAAAGGGCGCGUAGGCGGCCUGCUAAGUCGAACGUGAAAUCCCCGAGCUCAACUCGGGAACUGCGUCCGAUACUGGCAGGCUUGAAUCCGGGAGAGGGAUGCGGAAUUCCAGGUGUAGCGGUGAAAUGCGUAGAUAUCUGGAGGAACACCGGUGGCGAAGGCGGCAUCCUGGACCGGCAUUGACGCUGAGGCGCGAAAGCCAGGGGAGCAAACGGG